AUUGAACGCUGGCGGCAUGCCUUACACAUGCAAGUCGAACGGCAGCACGGGGCAACCUGGUGGCGAGUGGCGAACGGGUGAGUAAUGCAUCGGAACGUGCCAUUGAGUGGGGGAUAACGUAGCGAAAGUUGCGCUAAUACCGCAUAUUCUGUGAGCAGGAAAGCAGGGGACCGCAAGGCCUUGCGCUCUUUGAGCGGCCGAUGUCAGAUUAGCUAGUUGGUGAGGUAACGGCUUACCAAGGCGACGAUCUGUAGCGGGUCUGAGAGGAUGAUCCGCCACACUGGAACUGAGACACGGUCCAGACUCCUACGGGAGGCAGCAGUGGGGAAUUGUUCGCAAUGGGCGCAAGCCUGACGACGCAACGCCGCGUGGAGGAUGAAGAUCUUCGGGUCGUAAACUCCUUUCGAUCGAGACGAAUGGCCCUUGGGCUAAUACCCUGAGGGAGUGACGGUACUGAGAGAAGAAGCCCCGGCUAAACUCCGUGCCAGCA
This 490-nucleotide ribosomal RNA is filed under the name uncultured bacterium. RNAcentral's name for it is "bacterial SSU rRNA". It matches the Rfam family "Bacterial small subunit ribosomal RNA", at positions 30 to 513 of the family's 1533-position model. The record is from RNAcentral.